AAUUAGUUCUUAUUAAUUAUAACGAUUAUCAAUUAACAAUCAAUUCAGAACUGGCACGGACUUGGGGAAUCCGACUGUCUAAUUAAAACAAAGCAUUGUGAUGGCCCUAGCGGGUGUUGACACAAUGUGAUUUCUGCCCAGUGCUCUGAAUGUCAAAGUGAAGAAAUUCAAGUAAGCGCGGGUCAACGGCGGGAGUAACUAUGACUCUCUUAAGGAGGCUAUGACUCUCUUAAGGUAG
RNAcentral lists this ribosomal RNA (238 nucleotides) under Salmonella enterica. RNAcentral's name for it is "partial 23S ribosomal RNA". It matches the Rfam family "Eukaryotic large subunit ribosomal RNA", at positions 2064 to 2302 of the family's 3401-position model. RNAcentral also lists the same sequence under 1 other name. The record is from RNAcentral. Lineage: Bacteria; Pseudomonadati; Pseudomonadota; Gammaproteobacteria; Enterobacterales; Enterobacteriaceae.